Molecule: microRNA precursor, 86 nt
Filed under: Oryza longistaminata (longstamen rice)
Lineage: Eukaryota; Viridiplantae; Streptophyta; Magnoliopsida; Poales; Poaceae
Description: pre miRNA MIR1846
Rfam family: MIR1846 microRNA precursor family
Source: RNAcentral
AUGAGCAGCCGGAUCUCCAAGUAAGGAGGCCAGGGCCGCUGGAUUCGGUGACUCCAGUCUCCUCGCUGGCGGAUCUGGCGCCCAGA